GACGAACGCUGGCGGCGUGCUUAACACAUGCAAGUCGAACGGAAAGGCCCUGCUUUUGUGGGGUGCUCGAGUGGCGAACGGGUGAGUAACACGUGAGCAACCUGCCCUUGACUUUGGGAUAACUUCAGGAAACCGGGGCUAAUACCGGAUAGGAGCUCCUGCUGCAUGGUGGGGGUUGGAAAGUUUCGGCGGUUGGGGAUGGACUCGCGGCUUAUCAGCUUGUUGGUGGGGUAGUGGCUUACCAAGGCUUUGACGGGUAGCCGGCCUGAGAGGGUGACCGGCCACAUUGGGACUGAGAUACGGCCCAGACUCCUACGGGAGGCAGCAGUGGGGAAUAUUGCACAAUGGGCGGAAGCCUGAUGCAGCAACGCCGCGUGCGGGAUGACGGCCUUCGGGUUGUAAACCGCUUUCGCCUGUGACGAAGCGUGAGUGACGGUAAUGGGUAAAGAAGCACCGGCUAACUACGUG
Molecule: ribosomal RNA, 468 nt
Filed under: uncultured bacterium
Lineage: Bacteria
Description: partial 16S ribosomal RNA
Rfam family: Bacterial small subunit ribosomal RNA
Source: RNAcentral